Molecule: ribosomal RNA, 468 nt
Filed under: uncultured bacterium
Lineage: Bacteria
Description: partial 16S ribosomal RNA
Rfam family: Bacterial small subunit ribosomal RNA
Source: RNAcentral
GAUGAACGCUGGCGGCGUGCUUAACACAUGCAAGUCGAACGGAAAGGCCCUGCUUUUGUGGGGUGCUCGAGUGGCGAACGGGUGAGUAACACGUGAGUAACCUGCCCUUGACUUUGGGAUAACUUCAGGAAACUGGGGCUAAUACCGGAUAGGAGCUCCUGCUGCAUGGUGGGGGUUGGAAAGUUUCGGCGGUUGGGGAUGGACUCGCGGCUUAUCAGCUUGUUGGUGGGGUAGUGGCUUACCAAGGCUUUGACGGGUAGCCGGCCUGAGAGGGUGACCGGCCACAUUGGGACUGAGAUACGGACCAGACUCCUACGGGAGGCAGCAGUGGGGAAUAUUGCACAAUGGGCGGAAGCCUGAGGCAGCAACGCCGCGUGCGGGAUGACGGCCUUCGGGUUGUAAACCGCUUUCGCCUGUGACGAAGCGUGAGUGACGGUAAUGGGUAAAGAAGCACCGGCUAACUACGUG